UACAGAGGGUGCAAGCGUUAAUCGGAUUUACUGGGCGUAAAGCGUGCGUAGGCGGUUCAUUAAGUCGGUUGUGAAAUCCCUGGGCUUAACCUGGGAACUGCAGUCGAUACUGGUGAACUAGAAUGCGGUAGAGGGUGGCGGAACUCCGGGUGUAGCGGUGAAAUGCGUAGAUAUCCGGAAGAACACCGAUGGCGAAGGCAACCACCUGGGCCUGCAUUGACGCUGAGGUACGAAAGCGUGGGGAGCAAACAGG
This 253-nucleotide ribosomal RNA is filed under the name uncultured bacterium. RNAcentral describes it as "partial 16S ribosomal RNA". It matches the Rfam family "Bacterial small subunit ribosomal RNA", at positions 524 to 776 of the family's 1533-position model. The record is from RNAcentral.